This is a long non-coding RNA of Wasmannia auropunctata (little fire ant), 436 nucleotides long. RefSeq lists it as uncharacterized. The transcript has 2 exons. The record is from RefSeq and is a predicted model, not a curated record. Lineage: Eukaryota; Metazoa; Arthropoda; Insecta; Hymenoptera; Formicidae.
UGACAGAAGUUUCGCUCUCGAUUUAUGACUCGCCGAUAUACAUAUGUGCGCGCCGGACGAGGAAGAAAGUCGGGAGUGCCGAAUUGUGCGCGCUGGCGAUGCUUUCACCCUUGCGUAAUUCCGGCGGUUUUGGUAACGGCUGUAAGUGUAACGCUUCCGCCACACGUCGCGGGAGGUGACGGAUCGGGAAUAUCAAGUGUAAGGAUGAUUCAUUUUCGGAAGAGUCCCGUAUUUUCGCCUUCGGGUGUGAGGAAGUCGCGCGAUACAGUCGUCGCGCUUAUUGUUUCUGUGACACGAAGAAUUAGAUAGCUUCCGCGAUAGCGUGAAAUCAUAAAUUCCAGAAGGAAAAAAUAAUUCGUAUGUAAGUCAAAUAGCACCAAACUCCACGUCAUACGUUGUUAUAAUUAAUAAUAAAAUAUAAAGAAAUGAAGUCUUA